GACGAACGCUGGCGGCGUGCUUAACACAUGCAAGUCGAACGGAAAGGCCCUGCUUGCAGGGUACUCGAGUGGCGAACGGGUGAGUAACACGUGGGUGAUCUGCCCUGCACUUCGGGAUAAGCCUGGGAAACUGGGUCUAAUACCGGAUAGGAGCCAUUUUUAGUGUGAUGGUUGGAAAGUUUUUUCGGUGUAGGAUGAGCUCGCGGCCUAUCAGCUUGUUGGUGGGGUAAUGGCCUACCAAGGCGGCGACGGGUAGCCGGCCUGAGAGGGUGGACGGCCACAUUGGGACUGAGAUACGGCCCAGACUCCUACGGGAGGCAGCAGUGGGGAAUAUUGCACAAUGGGCGCAAGCCUGAUGCAGCGACGCCGCGUGGGGGAUGACGGCCUUCGGGUUGUAAACUCCUUUCGCUAGGGACGAAGCUUUUGGGACGGUACCUAGAUAAGAAGCACCGGCUAACUACGU
Molecule: ribosomal RNA, 463 nt
Filed under: uncultured bacterium
Lineage: Bacteria
Description: partial 16S ribosomal RNA
Rfam family: Bacterial small subunit ribosomal RNA
Source: RNAcentral